CCCGCAGCCCCAAAGCCGAACCCCACCCGAAGCCAUCUCCGCCGGAGUCCGCGCCCUCGUCGCUCCGGUCCUCCUCGGCGUCCGUGUCCAGGCGGGAUGGAUGCGGCGCCUCUUCCCGAUCUCCCCGGUGCCCGUAGCCUCGCCGGAGGCGGUCUGUGACGCCGGAGCUCGUCGCCGGAGCGCGCCGGUCCUCCUCUGCAUCGCGGGCGAGCGGGAGGAGGAAGAAGGAGCUAGGCCGGGCGGGCCCCAUCUCCACGCGGCCCCACCUGUCGGCGGGUAGGCGUUGACCCUGCCUGCCUAGUUAGAUAAGUGACGGGCCCCACAGCCCGUGGGACCCGCACGUCAGCUGCUCAAGCCCCUGCCCCGCCUCUGCCACGUGUUUAAGUGGAGGCGUACUCCGUUGAGUACGUUUUCACCUUCGGGAAAGGGCAUUUUCCCUCUGCUUUAGCUGAAAGUACGCUUACUUUUACUGAAAGCGUAUUUCCUCUCUGUUUCAGCCCAGAAUGCGUUGUCUUAAUCAGGAAGCGUAUUUCUAAAUUUGCGCUUCUGCCUUAUCCACUCAGGGACUUGUUUGUGGUGAUAUUUUUACAGAAAAGUCCCUGAACUUCAACCCUUCAUAUCUUUUUAAACACAACUCCAAAUGAGGUGAUUCCAAAGCCCACGUCUUCGUUUCGUCAAACCCGUUCUGUUGGUUUCAUUUUCACUUGGUUUGGCACUAUGAAAAUGACCUUUUUGCCCUUGCACGUAAACAGCCCCUCCGAGAGAGAACUGUUUCUGGCAAAUCUUUUCGCGGCUUCACUGCACUCCUUCCCGGUGCCUUCUUCACCCCAGGCAAGCCACAAUACCCACUUGCAUGAUAGUCAUGCAGUAGCCAUGGUUUUCAACUUGAAUAUUUAUUAAAUGUUUGCUUGUUUAAAAUAUGGUUAUCGUUGUUGCUUCUGGGUUAGUGCUUACUUUCUUGCUAUGUUGUUAUGCACCUGGUUGUCAUGCCCUGCUAGUUGCUGGUAUUCCUUUCAUAUGCUUAUGCUUGCUAGUAGUACAUGUUGAUGUUGGUAAUGGUCUUCGGUGCAUGACGGCCAUCUGUCCCGAGUACCGUUGUUAUACAUGUUCCAUUGCAUCCAGUUGGUUAAAUGCUUGCACGCUUGCAUUGUUGUAUGUUCAUGCAUGAUAUUUAUGGUUGAUGCUAGUGGUCAUGUUAUGCUAUGAGUAGUGUUGCACUUGUAAUAUUUAUGCUCGUCAUUAUGCCAUGUUCAGUUGGAGAUUAUUCAUAGUUGAUAUGGUGGAUAGUUAUGUUGCAUCCCGUGCUUAUGUUGAUAUCAUUCUCAUGCUUUGUAUAUGCAUCAUGUUAUUUUAUCAUGGCUCAGCAUAUUGCAUUCAAGUUUAACCGGAUUAAAUUGAACUUGAACAACUGUUGGCUGAGUCAUGGUGCCACCAUAUCGAAACUGACCAGUGCAACAAUGCUUACCUUAUGGGGAGGUCCUAACUGGGUCUAUUGUCGUGCCUAUCGCCGGUGCCUCCAACUAGGGAAGGCUAUGGGUGUGCUUACCCUGAUCAGGUAGGCGGACAUAACCUUGUGUGCUCGUAGGUUGGAUGAUAAGCGCUUUUGUCCCUGUUUGGGACGGACCACGACGGUGGUCGUUGUGUCUUUGGUAGACACGGGGCCACCCAGGACUAGCCCAAUGGGGAGUGAGUCGGAGUGGCCGGGAGAGUGUCAUGGCAGUAGAUCGGUUUUGUCGGAACGCCGUUGGUCCACCCGAAUGGGAAUGCGAGGCCAUGGGUUCUGUAGUGUGGGUACAGUGUACUAACCUCUGCAAAGUGUAUAUUAAAUCUAUCGAUAGCCGCGCUCGCGGAUAAGGGCCCAGUUCGUGUCGGUCCCACCGUGAGUCAAAGUAUUAAUAAUAACUUGAUUAAUGACAACCCCGGUUCGACGAUGAGAUAAGUUGGUUGUAAUCGCCGGAAAGAUCACCGUUUGAGAGCAAGUGUUGGUCAUGGUUGUGAUCGCCGGAAUGAUCACCGUGGUAUCGAGGAUACCGAGUUGUUGGAUAUUCAUGAUAUUGUGUGAGAAUCGUGGGUAAAGAUCAAGCUCCUUGUGGUCAUUUAAUGAUUACUAGGGUAUUGUUUAUACCAAGCUUGAUUUGAUCCUGAGAUGAUCGUGUGAUGUCCGAGGUUGGUAAGUGAUGCAUGUGAUGGUUACAUAGUAACCCGAGCAGAAUAAAUAGUGCAUGUAGUGUCAUCAUGUUGCAUGCUAGUAUCAUCAGAUUUAUAUGUUCAUGCCAUGAUCAUAUAUUGUCCUAGCGAUAUUAUGUUCAUAUUGUUCAUGCCAUGUUAUCCUGAUGAUCUCAUGAUAAUCCCUGAUUAACCUGUAAUUGCCAUGCUGUUGUUUGUCUUGAAUGCUUCUGGUUAAUUGUGAGCUUGCAAGUACAUUCAAUGUACUGACCUGGCGUGUCAUGCCAGCUUGCAGGUCGUGCCUGGAUUGCAUGCUUGUUUGCCGUGGAUUCUUUGUUUGCGAGCUAGGAUAAGCGUUCCAGCCAGAGUCCAUGCGGAGUGGAGUUCACCACUAUCGUCGUUAUUCCGCUGCUAGAGUUAUUCCGUUGCUUCGAGUUGUUCUACUGCUUGCAUAGAGCAACUGAGGAUGGCGUAGUGUCGCCGUGCCGAUGUUAUUCAUUGUACUAUCGGAGACCUUGUAAUCAUAUUCGUGUAAUAAUAGAAAGCUGGUUUGUUCUAUGCUAAGUAGUUCCGUAUUCUAGAAGACUUCUCCUCGAUCUCUGGGCUGGAAUACGGGGCGUUCCGGUUUUCUCUGAGCCGGGGUGCCACACAGUGCCUUUCAAAUAACGCAAAACUCUCUCUAGAGCUUUCCAAUGCACAUCUCCUGGUUUUGAGACAAACCGACUCAGUUUGCUAACAGCAAAAGAGAUGUCAGGUCUUGUAGCACUGGCUAAGUACAUAAGCG
This 2950-nucleotide long non-coding RNA is filed under the name Triticum aestivum (bread wheat). Its description in RNAcentral is "long non-coding RNA (TAES_LNC024597)". Lineage: Eukaryota; Viridiplantae; Streptophyta; Magnoliopsida; Poales; Poaceae. The record is from RNAcentral.